This 74-nucleotide transfer RNA is filed under the name Thermoanaerobaculum aquaticum. It matches the Rfam family "tRNA". From Rfam's summary of the family: Transfer RNA (tRNA) molecules are approximately 80 nucleotides in length. Their secondary structure includes four short double-helical elements and three loops (D, anti-codon, and T loops). Lineage: Bacteria; Pseudomonadati; Acidobacteriota; Thermoanaerobaculia; Thermoanaerobaculales; Thermoanaerobaculaceae. The record is from Rfam by way of RNAcentral.
CUGCCUGUAGCUCAGCUGGAUAGAGCAAGGGACUUCUAAUCCCUGGGUCAGAGGUUCGAAUCCUCUCAGGCAGG